This 435-nucleotide ribosomal RNA is filed under the name uncultured bacterium. RNAcentral's name for it is "bacterial SSU rRNA". It matches the Rfam family "Bacterial small subunit ribosomal RNA", at positions 62 to 543 of the family's 1533-position model. The record is from RNAcentral.
UCGAACGCACUCUUCGGAGUGAGUGGCAGACGGGUGAGUAACGCGUGGGAAUCUACCUAUCACUACGGAACAACUCCGGGAAACUGGAGCUAAUACCGUAUACGUCCUUCGGGAGAAAGAUUUAUCGGUAAUGGAUGAGCCCGCGUUGGAUUAGCUAGUUGGUGGGGUAAUGGCCUACCAAGGCGACGAUCCAUAGCUGGUCUGAGAGGAUGAUCAGCCACACUGGGACUGAGACACGGCCCAGACUCCUACGGGAGGCAGCAGUGGGGAAUAUUGGACAAUGGGCGCAAGCCUGAUCCAGCCAUGCCGCGUGAGUGAUGACGGCCCUAGGGUUGUAAAGCUCUUUCGCAGGUGAAGAUAAUGACGGUAACCUGAGAAGAAGCCCCGGCUAACUUCGUGCCAGCAGCCGCGGUAAUACGAAGGGGGCUAGCGUUG